RNAcentral lists this transfer RNA (144 nucleotides) under Rhynchosporium graminicola. It matches the Rfam family "tRNA". Rfam says of the family: Transfer RNA (tRNA) molecules are approximately 80 nucleotides in length. Their secondary structure includes four short double-helical elements and three loops (D, anti-codon, and T loops). The record is from RNAcentral. Lineage: Eukaryota; Fungi; Ascomycota; Leotiomycetes; Helotiales; Ploettnerulaceae.
GGGCGAUUGGUUUAGUGGUAUAAUACCUCUUUGUUCGUACCUCCUCCCCUUCCUGGGGAGCCCUUCCUAACCAAAUUUAGAGCAUGCGCUGGCAGACGUCAGUCGACCUAGAGGUGGUCCAGGGUUCGAUUCCCUGAUCGUCCA